AGAGUUUGAUCAUGGCUCAGAACGAACGCUGGCGGCAGCUUAACACAUGCAAGUCGAACGCACCGCAAGGUGAGUGGCAGACGGGUGAGUAACGCGUGGGAACGUGCCCUUCAGUUCGGGAUAACCCAGGGAAACUUGGGCUAAUACCGGAUACGUGCGAGAGCAGAAAGAUUUAUCGCUGAAGGAUCGGCCCGCGUCUGAUUAGCUAGUUGGUGGGGUAAUGGCCCACCAAGGCGACGAUCAGUAGCUGGUCUGAGAGGAUGAUCAGCCACAUUGGGACUGAGACACGGCCCAAACUCCUACGGGAGGCAGCAGUGGGGAAUAUUGGACAAUGGGCGCAAGCCUGAUCCAGCCAUGCCACGUGAGUGAUGAAGGCCUUAGGGUUGUAAAGCUCUUUCGUCCGGGACGAUAAUGACGGUACCGGAAGAAGAAGCCCCGGCUAACUUCGUGCCAGCAGCCGCGGUAAUACGAAGGGGGCUAGCGUUGUUCGGAAUCACUGGGCGUAAAGGGCGCGUAGGCGCCUGAUAAGUCGGGGGUGAAAGCCUGUGGCUCAACCACAGAAUUGCCUUCGAUACUGUCGGGCUUGAGACCGGAAGAGGUAAGUGGAACUGCGAGUGUAGAGGUGAAAUUCGUAGAUAUUCGCAAGAACACCAGUGGCGAAGGCGGCUUACUGGUCCGGUUCUGACGCUGAGGCGCGAAAGCGUGGGGAGAAAACAGGAUUAGAUACCCUAGUAGUCC
This 738-nucleotide ribosomal RNA is filed under the name uncultured bacterium. Its description in RNAcentral is "bacterial SSU rRNA". It matches the Rfam family "Bacterial small subunit ribosomal RNA", at positions 8 to 796 of the family's 1533-position model. The record is from RNAcentral.